This 535-nucleotide ribosomal RNA is filed under the name Salmonella enterica. RNAcentral describes it as "partial 23S ribosomal RNA". It matches the Rfam family "Bacterial large subunit ribosomal RNA", at positions 689 to 1221 of the family's 2925-position model. Lineage: Bacteria; Pseudomonadati; Pseudomonadota; Gammaproteobacteria; Enterobacterales; Enterobacteriaceae. The record is from RNAcentral. RNAcentral also lists the same sequence under 1 other name.
UGGGCGUUAAGUUGCAGGGUAUAGACCCGAAACCCGGUGAUCUAGCCAUGGGCAGGUUGAAGGUUGGGUAACACUAACUGGAGGACCGAACCGACUAAUGUUGAAAAAUUAGCGGAUGACCUGUGGCUGGGGGUGAAAGGCCAAUCAAACCGGGAGAUAGCUGGUUCUCCCCGAAAGCUAUUUAGGUAGCGCCUCGUGAAUUCAUCUCCGGGGGUAGAGCACUGUUUCGGCUAGGGGGCCAUCCCGGCUUACCAACCCGAUGCAAACUGCGAAUACCGGAGAAUGUUAUCACGGGAGACACACGGCGGGUGCUAACGUCCGUCGUGAAGAGGGAAACAACCCAGACCGCCAGCUAAGGUCCCAAAGUCAUGGUUAAGUGGGAAACGAUGUGGGAAGGCCCAGACAGCCAGGAUGUUGGCUUAGAAGCAGCCAUCAUUUAAAGAAAGCGUAAUAGCUCACUGGUCGAGUCGGCCUGCGCGGAAGAUGUAACGGGGCUAAACCAUGCACCGAAGCUGCGGCAGCGACGCUUAUGCGU